CUGAGUUGUACUAAUUCACACACACACACACACACACACACACACACACACACACACACACACACACACACACAAUACAAAGGUCAGAAACAAGUAAAAUAUUUAACUGAAACUAAUUGAAAAUAUUUUUAAUACAAUAAAAUCUACAAGGAAUCAGCAGUUCAGAGAAAAAAUGAUGGAAAUGAGAGACUGUGUGUGUGUGUGUGUGUCUGUGUGUGUGUCUGUCUGUGUGUGUAUAUGUGUGUGUGUGUGUGUGUCUGUGUGUGUGUGUCUGUGUGUGUGUGUGUGUGUGUGUGUGUGUGUGUGUGUGUGUGUGUGUGUGUGUGUGUGGACAGAGAGAGAGCGAGAGAGAGAGAGAAAUAGAAAGCCAUGAACGACGUAUCAAAUGCGAUGGAAUGGUAUAACAAUAGUGGUGUGUGUGUGUGUGUGUGUGUGUGUGUGUGUGUGUGUGUGUAUUUGGGUUGGUGGACCCUCUCUGAAUCACGCUUACACACUUCACUCUGCAGCAGCGGUGGACACCAAACACACUUCAUCACUGGGCAGAAUCUCAGCAGUGACUCACUGAAGGUGGACUAGUCUCAUCACACACUCAUCUCUCAGCAGACAGGAACGAGCUAGAGGAGGGGAAACGCUGACGACGCUGACUGCAGCUAUUAUUGCUGAAUAACGUUUGAAGAUUACAGAGAAGAGUUACACACUUCAAACACAGACAGUGAGUGUGUGAGCUCUUAAUAUACUCACUGGGAUGGAGCUACACACACAUGCACAUACACACACACAUACACAUACAUGCCAUUCACAUGGCAUUAUAUGGGACCAUGCAUAGCACAAGUUACUAAAUUAUCAUGAUGCUGUUCUUAAAAAAAUACAAAUUAAUAGAAUGUUAAUAUCUGCAAAAUAAUUGUCUUUAUGCCACAUUUCCAAACACAAAGGCAGACUAUUUUCUAAAUAAAAUGCAAGGCAGUCACCUACUUAAUUUUUCAUGAAUGAAGAGCAAAAAUGUUAUAACAUUUACUGCUAAAUUAUCUACAAUAAGAAUAUCCUGAAUAUCGCUAUUGUACAACCGAUUAUCAGCCCACUCCCAAUCCUGAGCCACUUCCCUUUUAGAGACAUAAAACAAAAAGUGCUGUGUCGCCUUAUAGCCACAAUUUCCGUCACUUCACUUCAACAGAAUCACACAAAGCAUUUUCAAAAAUAAUAUUAAAAAUGAUAGUUGUUAUAUUAUGAAUCAAUUGUGACGCUACAAUAGAUUUCAAUUCCUUCUAAUAAAUAAAUCUGUAGAUUUACCCAAAACAAAAAAAAACAAUGCCCCCUAUUUUCCCUAAAAAUACAAAAAUGUUAUAAUAUUCACUACUAAAUUAUCUACUAUAACAAUAUUGUGAAUAUCGGGAUAUAUUGUAUAACCUGUAAUUGGCCCAAAACCAAUCUAGUACAACUUCCUUUUUAGAUGCAUAAAUACAAAAUAAGAGCCAUGUCACAUUAUAACUACAAAAUUUCCUUCACUUCACUUCAACACUAACACACACAAAAUGUCUGUAAUUCAGUGACAGCUUUAAAGCCUUGCUAUAAUAUGUGUAGAUUUCUGUCAAAAUGUCAUUUUGUCAAAAGGGGAGAAAAGAAAGCAUAUGUGUGUAUGUUUCGGUGCAAACACAGCAGCAGGGUGUAUGUGUAUGUGUGUGUGAAACUGUAGCCAGCUAAAAUAAGGCCUUUUUUGGGGCUCAGAGAUAAGAGAUGGAAAUUGCCACUGGAGAAAAUGAGGGUUAUUCAGCACUCCGAUAAGCACCUAUUUGCUUUUGGUCAUAAUGCCUUCUCACACUUUAUAAAUCAUCAUUUAAUUACGCAGACGAGCGGCUGAUUGUCGGCCUGGCUGGCCCGCCGGCGCACAGCCACGCACAAAGAGGGAAAUUAUACGUGUCCUUGGCAUUUCAAUCAUCAUCACUAAUGCAUUAGCGUUCAAUUACAUCAGACACUUUCAGCAAGUGCAAAAAAAUCUAAAGACAAAAAAAGGGAGUGAAGAGGGAAAAGAGGAUGGGGAGAAAAAUUUACGUUGUUUAUAAUAUAACGCGUAUAUUUUUGUCCCCCUCCUCGUUUCCCUGUAUAUAACUGAGGAGCUAUAAUUUACUAAAUAAAUCAUUAUCAAAAGAUACAUGUAUUUAAAAUAUUCUCUAUUUUGAUUUUUUUAAUCAUAUAAUGAUUAUAGAAUAAUAUCAUUAUUAUAUUAUAUAGUGAUAUAAG
This is a long non-coding RNA of Ictalurus punctatus (channel catfish), 2235 nucleotides long. The record is from Ensembl. Lineage: Eukaryota; Metazoa; Chordata; Actinopteri; Siluriformes; Ictaluridae.